AUGGUCCAUUUACCUUAUACUCAUGGCGAGACAGUGUCUCAGCAUCCUUUAGACUUUGUUACUUUGAUCUCGAGGGAUCAUCUCCCUUUGGCUCCACUAGUGACUUCUCUCAACACACCUGGAUAUACUUUAUUUUCUUCUCGUAGUAAGGUCUUAUCUAUAAGCCUUUUGCUGCCAUGGUCCACACUUAAUUCUCUACGCCUAUUCAUGUGUUCUAUGGUAACUCUAGUGGAGAGUUUCUCCAAGCUGUUGUGUGGAAUCCUUGCUGGGCAGACUUUGGUUCUCUUAUUCUGGUACUCAUGCUCAAAAUGGUGUGGCUGA
RNAcentral lists this ribosomal RNA (321 nucleotides) under Triticum aestivum (bread wheat). RNAcentral describes it as "partial small subunit ribosomal RNA". Lineage: Eukaryota; Viridiplantae; Streptophyta; Magnoliopsida; Poales; Poaceae. The record is from RNAcentral.